RNAcentral lists this long non-coding RNA (939 nucleotides) under Mus pahari (shrew mouse). RNAcentral describes it as "lncRNA (MGP_PahariEiJ_G0006033.1)". The record is from RNAcentral. Lineage: Eukaryota; Metazoa; Chordata; Mammalia; Rodentia; Muridae.
CUUCUGGGCUUGGUUCAGGGAGGAGGCCAAAAGAGGAAUUUACCAGGGAAGCGAUUGAAAGACAAAAGUCCACUCUAAAGUGAAGAAACAAGAAAGAAGACUGAACUGAAGGAAAACUGGAAGGUGUCAUGGAGUGCUGAAUGAAGGCAUGCAAAGAACUGAUGGCUUCCCAGGGCUUCUGUCACAAUGGGGUGGCCUGGAAUGAGAGAAAUAUAUUGUCACUCUGUUCUGGAGACUGGAAGUCCUGAGUUGAAAUGUCAGCCGAGCCAUACUCCACAGAAGGUUCUAGAAACAAAUCCUUUCAGCCCCUGGACUCCUCUACACUGGUUUGGAGCCUCUGGGGUCCUAGAGUCCCUCUAAAGGGGCUGCAAAAUGGAAGAUGGAGUUGGGGUUCAAUUUCCCCUGCCGUCUGCGCGGGAAGGAGAAGGCGCGUCCGGGGGGCGGACACCAGGGGAGGGGACCACGAAGCUUGAAGAGUGGCAACGACAAAGGCCGCGGAGUCCUAGGGCCCUGCUUUCCGCCGCGAGCCACCCAGCCCCAGCCGGAGCCUUCGAUUGCAAAAGCAAAACCGAAUGGGCGCAGCCGAGGUGGCAUUUUCAUCUCCUUCAGUCCCCUUCCCUAAAGCCGGCAGCACUGCGGAGACCCGUCCCGGGCUAGGACUGCGCGGUACGCGGGCAAGGGGUUCUCCCGGGCGUCCCUGGAACCUGGAGCUCGAGAAUCCUGGCUCCCAGGCUGCGGACACAAUUGCCUCUUUUAGGUUUGCAACGCUCCCGGGCUCUGCGCACACACUCACUGCUGCCAAAACAUUUCUCAAAGGUCCCCAAAUAAAAUCAAACCCGAGUAGUGGCCGAGGCCCGGGAUUGCCCAGAUAACGCACAAGGAACAGAAGUGAAGUCUGUUCUUUGGGGCGUCAUGGACAAUAAAAGCAAAGCCGGGUUA